This 64-nucleotide transfer RNA is filed under the name Dipodomys ordii (Ord's kangaroo rat). It matches the Rfam family "tRNA". Rfam says of the family: Transfer RNA (tRNA) molecules are approximately 80 nucleotides in length. The record is from Rfam by way of RNAcentral. Lineage: Eukaryota; Metazoa; Chordata; Mammalia; Rodentia; Heteromyidae.
GGUGACUCAAUGGUAGAGUGCUUGCCUGCAUGCAAGAGGCCCUGGGUUCAAUUCCUCAGCACCA